AAAACGACUCUCGGCAACGGAUAUCUCGGCUCUCGCAUCGAUGAAGAACGUAGCGAAAUGCGAUACUUGUGUGAAUUGCAGAAUCCCGUGAACCAUCGAGUCUUUGAACGCAAGUUGCGCCCCAAGCCGUUAGGCCGAGGGCACGCCUGCCUGGGUGUCAC
RNAcentral lists this ribosomal RNA (161 nucleotides) under Acer saccharum subsp. nigrum. RNAcentral describes it as "5.8S ribosomal RNA". It matches the Rfam family "5.8S ribosomal RNA". From Rfam's summary of the family: 5.8S ribosomal RNA (5.8S rRNA) is a component of the large subunit of the eukaryotic ribosome. It is transcribed by RNA polymerase I as part of the 45S precursor that also contains 18S and 28S rRNA. The record is from RNAcentral. Lineage: Eukaryota; Viridiplantae; Streptophyta; Magnoliopsida; Sapindales; Sapindaceae.